RNAcentral lists this ribosomal RNA (738 nucleotides) under Batracobdella cancricola. RNAcentral describes it as "12S ribosomal RNA". The record is from RNAcentral. Lineage: Eukaryota; Metazoa; Annelida; Clitellata; Rhynchobdellida; Glossiphoniidae.
AUAGUUUGAUUCUAACUAAAUUAUUAAAAAUUAUUUUAUGCCUCAUGUAUAGAAUAUCUUAAAGUAUAAAAUUUAAUAUAACAUUUAUGAUUAAUUUAAAUUUACAGUGGAUAAAACUAAUCAAUAUAUGAAAAUAUGAAUUGGUAAAUAUAAUAUAUGUCGGCAAAAUUCGUGCCAGCAGCCGCGGUUAGACGAUAGACUUAUAAUAAAAAAAAUUCUAUAAGAUAUUAUAAAUGUACUAAUAGGUUUAAUUUCAACUUAUAAAAAGAACCAAAAAUAUCAUUAUUAAAUUAUUAAUUAAAACAAGGAUUAGAUACCCUUUUAUUAAUAACCUAUAAAAAGAAUUGGAAAAUACGAACCACAGUUUAAACACCAAAGAAUUUGGCGGUGUCUUAUUUUAUUAGGGGAACCUGUCCCAUAAACGAUAAUCCACGAAAAUCUUACCUAAUUUUGAAACUCAGUUAGUGUACUGCCGUCUAAAGUAUACCUUUAUGAGUGUAUACUAAAAAUUAUAAAUAAAUAUUACGUCAGGUCAAGGUGCAGCUUAUAAUUAGGUGGCGAUGGGUUACAAUCUUAAUAUAGAUACGGAAAAAUAUAAUAAUUAUAUUUUAAAGGUGGACUUAAUAGUAAUUAAAAUAAUAUUUUAAUGAAUUUAAUACUAAGACAUGCACAUAUCGCCCGUCACUCCUUCACUGGAUAAGUCGUAACAUAGUAGAUGUAACGGAAGUUGCAUCUGUC